ACACUCCUACGGGAGGCAGCAGUGAGGAAUAUUGGACAAUGGGUGGAAGCCUGAUCCAGCCAUCCCGCGUGCAGGAAGACGGCCCUAUGGGUUGUAAACUGCUUUUAUCUGGGGAUAAACCUACUUACGUGUAAGUAGCUGAAGGUACCAGAAGAAUAAGCACCGGCUAACUCCGUGCCAGCAGCCGCGGUAAUACGGAGGGUGCAGCGUUAUCCGGAUUUAUUGGGUUUAAAGGGUCCGUAGGCGGACUGAUAAGUCAGUGGUGAAAUCCGACAGCUUAACUGUCGAACUGCCAUUGAUACUGUUAGUCUUGAGUAAGGUUGAAGUGGCUGGAAUAAGUAGUGUAGCGGUGAAAUGCAUAGAUAUUACUUAGAACACCAAUUGCGAAGGCAGGUCACUAAGUCUUAACUGACGCUGAUGGACGAAAGCGUGGGGAGCGAACAGGAUUAGAUACCCGUGUAGUCC
Molecule: ribosomal RNA, 465 nt
Filed under: uncultured organism
Description: partial 16S ribosomal RNA
Rfam family: Bacterial small subunit ribosomal RNA
Source: RNAcentral